UGGGGAAUAUUGCACAAUGGGCGCAAGCCUGAUGCAGCGACGCCGCGUGAGGGAUGAAGGCCUUCGGGUUGUAAACCUCUUUCGUCAGGGAACAAGGCACUGCUUUUGGUGGUGUUGAGGGUACCUGGAUAAGAAGCGCCGGCUAACUACGUGCCAGCAGCCGCGGUAAUACGUAGGGCGCAAGCGUUGUCCGGAAUUAUUGGGCGUAAAGAGCUCGUAGGCGGCUGGUCGCGUCUGUCGUGAAAACUUCCGGCUCAACCGGGGGCUUGCGGUGGGUACGGGCCGGCUAGAGUGCGGUAGGGGUAACUGGAACUCCUGGUGUAGCGGUGGAAUGCGCAGAUAUCAGGAAGAACACCGAUGGCGAAGGCAGGUUACUGGGCCGUUACUGACGCUGAGGAGCGAAAGCGUGGGGAGCGAACAGGAUUAGAUACCCUGGUAGUCCACGCCGUAAACGUUGGGCACUAGGUGUGAGGCUCCUUUCCGGGGGUUUUGCGCCGUAGCUAACGCAUUAAGUGCCCCGCCUGGGGAGUACGGCCGCAAGGCU
Molecule: ribosomal RNA, 544 nt
Filed under: uncultured bacterium
Lineage: Bacteria
Description: bacterial SSU rRNA
Rfam family: Bacterial small subunit ribosomal RNA
Source: RNAcentral